AAGAGACAGCAGCAGCCACGGUAAUACAGAGGGUGCGAGCGUUAAUCGGAUUUACUGGGCGUAAAGCGUGCGUAGGCGGCUUCUUAAGUCGGAUGUGAAAUCCCUGAGCUUAACUUAGGAAUUGCAUUCGAUACUGGGAAGCUAGAGUAUGGGAGAGGAUGGUAGAAUUCCAGGUGUAGCGGUGAAAUGCGUAGAGAUCUGGAGGAAUACCGAUGGCGAAGGCAGCCAUCUGGCCUAAUACUGACGCUGAGGUACGAAAGCAUGGGGAGCAAACAGGAUUAGAUACCCCCGUAGUCCCUGUCUCUUAUAC
This 310-nucleotide ribosomal RNA is filed under the name uncultured bacterium. RNAcentral's name for it is "partial 16S ribosomal RNA". It matches the Rfam family "Bacterial small subunit ribosomal RNA", at positions 503 to 807 of the family's 1533-position model. The record is from RNAcentral.